GUGGCGAACGGGUGAGUAACACGUGGGCAACCUGCCCCUGGCUCUGGGAUAACUCCAAGAAAUUGGGGCUAAUACCGGAUAUGACCGCUGACCGCAUGGUCUGGUGGUGGAAAGAUUUAUCGGCUGGGGAUGGGCCCGCGGCCUAUCAGCUUGUUGGUGGGGUAGUGGCCUACCAAGGCGACGACGGGUAGCCGGCCUGAGAGGGUGACCGGCCACACUGGGACUGAGACACGGCCCAGACUCCUACGGGAGGCAGCAGUGGGGAAUAUUGCGCAAUGGGCGAAAGCCUGACGCAGCGACGCCGCGUGGGGGAUGACGGCCUUCGGGUUGUAAACCUCUUUCAGCAGGGACGAAGCGAAAGUGACGGUACCUGCAGAAGAAGCACCGGCCAACUACGUGCCAGCAGCCGCGGUAAUACGUAGGGUGCAAGCGUUGUCCGGAAUUAUUGGGCGUAAAGAGCUCGUAGGCGGUUCGUCGCGUCGGCUGUGAAAACCUGAGGCUCAACCUCAGGCCUGCAGUCGAUACGGGCGGACUUGAGUACUGCAGGGGAGACUGGAAUUCCUGGUGUAGCGGUGAAAUGCGCAGAUAUCAGGAGGAACACCGGUGGCGAAGGCGGGUCUCUGGGCAGUAACUGACGCUGA
RNAcentral lists this ribosomal RNA (641 nucleotides) under Blastococcus sp. I12A-02599. Its description in RNAcentral is "bacterial SSU rRNA". It matches the Rfam family "Bacterial small subunit ribosomal RNA", at positions 95 to 749 of the family's 1533-position model. Lineage: Bacteria; Bacillati; Actinomycetota; Actinomycetes; Geodermatophilales; Geodermatophilaceae. The record is from RNAcentral.